GCCCGAGUAGCUCAGUUGGUAGAGCGACGCUCUCGUAAAGCGUAGGUCAGGAGUUCAAUUCUCCUCUCGGGCUCCA
RNAcentral lists this transfer RNA (76 nucleotides) under Acidimicrobiaceae bacterium. RNAcentral's name for it is "tRNA-Thr". It matches the Rfam family "tRNA". From Rfam's summary of the family: Transfer RNA (tRNA) molecules are approximately 80 nucleotides in length. Their secondary structure includes four short double-helical elements and three loops (D, anti-codon, and T loops). Lineage: Bacteria; Bacillati; Actinomycetota; Acidimicrobiia; Acidimicrobiales; Acidimicrobiaceae. RNAcentral also lists the same sequence under 3 other names. The record is from RNAcentral.